This 400-nucleotide ribosomal RNA is filed under the name uncultured bacterium. RNAcentral's name for it is "bacterial SSU rRNA". It matches the Rfam family "Bacterial small subunit ribosomal RNA", at positions 355 to 772 of the family's 1533-position model. The record is from RNAcentral.
UUAGGAAUAUUGGACAAUGGGGGAAACCCUGAUCCAGCCAUGCCGCGUGAGUGACGAAGGCCUUAGGGUUGUAAAGCUCUUUCGUCUGCGAAGAUAAUGACAGUAACAGAAGAAGAAGCCCCGGCUAAAUUCGUGCCAGCAGCCGCGGUAAUACGAAUGGGGCGAGCGUUGUUCGGAAUCACUGGGCGUAAAGCGUACGCAGGCUGUCAUAAAAGUUAGAAGUGAAAGCCCCGGGCUUAACCCGGGAAUUGCUUUUAAAACUGUAUGACUAGAGUACUGGAGAGGUUGGCGGAAUUCCGAGUGUAGCAGUGAAAUGCGUAGAUAUUCGGAGGAACACCGAUGGCGUAGGCAGCCAACUGGACAGUUACUGACGCUCAUGUACGAAAGCGUGGGGAUCAAA